CCCGACUGCUAUUUGGGUGAGGAUAAGCCAUGCGAGUUGAAUGGGAUACCUAAAUUUCCCAUGGCAAACUGCUCAGUAACACAUGAUCAACUUACCCUAUAGAGAAAAAUAACCUCGGGAAACUGAGGAUAAUAUUUCAUAGUUGAAUAGGCUUGGAAAAGUUUUUCAAUAAAAGGGAUAAAAAAAAUGGUUUUUAUCUGCUAUAGGAUAGGAUCGUGGACGAUUAUGGUUGUUGGUGAGGUAACGGCUCACCAAGCCGAUAAUCGAUAGGAGCCGUGAGAGCGGGAGCCCCGAGAUGGGUACUGAGACGACGACCCAGGCCUUACGAGGCGCAGCAGGCGCGGAACCUCCGCAAUACACGAAAGUGUGACGGGGUUACCCAAAGUGUUCAAUUCUGAACUGUGGUAGGUGAGUAAUGUUCCCUACUAGAAAGGAGAGGGCAAGGCUGGUGCCAGCCGCCGCGGUAAAACCAGCUCUUCAAGUGGUCGGGAUAAUAUUGGGCUUAAAGUGUCCGUAGCCGGUUUAGUAAGUUCCUGGUAAAAUCGGGUAGCUUAACUAUCUGUAUGCUAGGAAUACUGCUAUACUAGAGGGCGGGAGAGGUCUGAGGUACUACAGGGGUAGGGGUGAAAUCUUAUAAUCCUUGUAGGACCACCAGUGGCGAAGGCGUCAGACUGGAACGCGCCUGACGGUGAGGGACGAAAGCCAGGGGAGCGAACCGGAUUAGAUACCCGGGUAGUCCUGGCCGUAAACGAUGCAUACUAGGUGAUGGUACGGCCAUGAGCCGUAUCAGUGCCGUAGGGAAACCGUUAAGUGUGCCGCCUGGGAAGUACGGUCGCAAGGCUAAAACUUAAAGGAAUUGGCGGGGGAGCA
RNAcentral lists this ribosomal RNA (870 nucleotides) under uncultured archaeon. RNAcentral describes it as "bacterial SSU rRNA". It matches the Rfam family "Archaeal small subunit ribosomal RNA", at positions 21 to 878 of the family's 1478-position model. The record is from RNAcentral.